This is a long non-coding RNA of Canis lupus familiaris (dog), 251 nucleotides long. RefSeq lists it as uncharacterized. The record is from RefSeq and is a predicted model, not a curated record. The transcript is spliced from 3 exons. NCBI's taxonomy places the organism in Eukaryota, Metazoa, Chordata, Mammalia, Carnivora, Canidae.
AAAAGCCCGUUUUGUUUUCUUGGGCCUUAACCUUCCUGAUUCUAUUGUUAUCAGUGUCUGACAUGCUGCUACCCAUGAUUCUGCACCCCUCCGUUCAGUUCAUUGUUGGUCCAGAACCUCGGCUCAGAGAUUUUGUCUAGAAGAAGAAUCAAGCCAUAAAACAGAUGGCCUGAUAUUUUGUAUGGAAAAUCUUAGGAAUCCACCAAAUAUUAGAAUUAAUGGAUGUGUUCAGCAGGGUUGCAGGUUAUAAG